This 193-nucleotide ribosomal RNA is filed under the name uncultured Staphylococcus sp. Its description in RNAcentral is "partial 16S ribosomal RNA". It matches the Rfam family "Bacterial small subunit ribosomal RNA", at positions 339 to 524 of the family's 1533-position model. The record is from RNAcentral. Lineage: Bacteria; Bacillati; Bacillota; Bacilli; Caryophanales; Staphylococcaceae.
CUACGGGAGGCAGCAGUAGGGAAUCUUCCGCAAUGGGCGAAAGCCUGACGGAGCAACGCCGCGUGAGUGAUGAAGGUCUUCGGAUCGUAAAACUCUGUUAUCAGGGAAGAACAAAUGUGUAAGUAACUGUGCACAUCUUGACGGUACCUGAUCAGAAAGCCACGGCUAACUACGUGCCAGCAGCCGCGGUAAU